CAGGGAUUGCCCUAGUAACGGCGAGUGAAGCGGCAACAGCUCAAAUUUGAAAUCUGGCGCCAGCCCGAGUUGUAAUUUGGAGAGGAUGCUUCUGGGCAGCGGCCGGUCUAAGUUCCUUGGAACAGGACGUCACAGAGGGUGAGAAUCCCGUAUGUGACCGGCGCGCACCCUCCACGUAGCUCCUUCGACGAGUCGAGUUGUUUGGGAAUGCAGCUCUAAAUGGGAGGUAAAUUUCUUCUAAAGCUAAAUACCGGCCAGAGACCGAUAGCGCACAAGUAGAGUGAUCGAAAGAUGAAAAGCACUUUGGAAAGAGAGUUAAACAGCACGUGAAAUUGUUGAAAGGGAAGCGCCUGCAACCAGACUUCGCGGCAGUGUUCCGCCGGCCUUCUGGCCGGCCCACUCGCUGCCGCGAGGCCAUCAUCGUCUCGGGUCGCGGGAUAAGACCGGGGGAAUGUAGCUCGCCCUCGGGCGAGUGUUAUAGCCCCCAGUGAUGCCGCGUACCCGGGGCGAGGUCCGCGCUCCGGCAAGGAUGAUGGCGUAAUGGUCGUCGGCGGCCCGUCUUGAAACACGGACCAAGGAGUCUAACAUCUAUGCGAGUGUUCGGGUGUCAAACCCCUACGCGUAAUGAAAGUGAACGGAGGUGGGAACCCUCGCGGGUGCACCAUCGACCGAUCCUGAUGUCCUCGGAUGGAUUUGAGUAAGAGCAUAGCUGUUGGGACCCGAAAGAUGGUGAACUAUGCCUGAAUAGGGUGAAGCCAGAGGAAACUCUGGUGGAGGCUCGCAGCGGUUCUGACGUGCAAAUCGAUCGUCAAAUUUGGGUAUAGGGGCGAAAGACUAAUCGAACCAUCUAGUAG
This 854-nucleotide ribosomal RNA is filed under the name Nothoseptoria caraganae. RNAcentral describes it as "partial large subunit ribosomal RNA". It matches the Rfam family "Eukaryotic large subunit ribosomal RNA", at positions 69 to 950 of the family's 3401-position model. The record is from RNAcentral. Lineage: Eukaryota; Fungi; Ascomycota; Dothideomycetes; Mycosphaerellales; Mycosphaerellaceae.